This 255-nucleotide ribosomal RNA is filed under the name uncultured bacterium. RNAcentral's name for it is "partial 16S ribosomal RNA". It matches the Rfam family "Bacterial small subunit ribosomal RNA", at positions 76 to 334 of the family's 1533-position model. The record is from RNAcentral.
UUGAAGCCUUGGUGACUGAGCGGCGGACGGGUGAGUAACGCGUGGGUAACCUGCCUUUACUCGGGAUAGCCUUUCGAAAGAAAGAUUAAUACCCGAUAGCAUAAUGAUUCCGCAUGGUUUCAUUAUUAAAGGAUUCCGGUAAAGGAUGGGGAUGCGUUCCAUUAGGUUGUUGGUGAGGUAACGGCCCACCAAGCCUUCGAUGGAUAGGGGUUCUGAGAGGAAGGUCCCCCACAUUGGAACUGAGACACGGUCCAA